GACCAUUCGGUCUAGGGAUAUGAUAUUUGUUUUCCAUUGAAUCAUAAUGUUUACAAAGGGCCCUGGGUUCAAUUCCCAGAAUGUCUA
Molecule: non-coding RNA, 87 nt
Organism: Biscogniauxia marginata
Lineage: Eukaryota; Fungi; Ascomycota; Sordariomycetes; Xylariales; Xylariaceae
Source: the annotation of a GenBank genome assembly